GUCUUUUCAUCUUUAGAUUGAAUUCUUUCUUAGAACUUAGAUAUUAGGAUGAAUUCCUUCAAUUUUAGCUUAAAUUCUUGAUUUUUAACUCUGCUAAAAUAUAUGGUCUGCCUACUACAGUCCUAUAUAUUAAAAAAAAAUAAAGUAUUCUUUAAAGUCAAUGGUGCAGAACAUUUAUCAUCUGUUGAUGCAUUUAUCCGCCGGUGAUUUCUCUUGUAUAAAAGCCAUUUAAUGGAGUCUGUGCCAAACUUUCUGCAUCCCAUGUGAGUGUACGAGACCGGGAAAACAGCUUCUAUCCGAAGAAAAUGUCUCUGCUCUUCAUUUUAUCAUGUUUAUCAAUUAUUUUGUAUUUAAUUCUCCGUUGGUAUAACCAUCACCAAUGAGUACUAUUCGACUUGACUCGUCUUUUUUUUUUUUUCCCUCAAACAUAUUAGAUUCAUAGAAGCGUCAAAUUGGCAGAGAAUGCAAUACAAAGGUGAUGCAUGCAUUCGACUUGACUUGUACGUUUUUGAGAUAGGAGAUGCAUGCAUCACUUUCUCGCUAUUGUCAGUAAACUUAGCGUUUCAUUUAGAAACAUUUAAAUAUUUGACACCUUAGCAAGACCCUGGCUGUAGGUGUUUUUAUUAUAAUGUUCCCCACAUGUUGUACAGCAUUAGAAAACAAGUUAUUUUUGCAAGAAAACCCAUGUGUGCUACAUGUCGAAUUGUUUCAAAGCUAAACCUUUAAAUUUAUUAGUGCUUACUGCAUUGCAUAUAAUUAUUCUUGUGAGAGGGGAUAAUGUUGGUGCCCUUUUCCAUUAUUUUUGUUCAUCAAAACAACAGGUUCAGAUCAUUGUAUUUGAUGUGCCCCCUUGAGAACAGAUGUUACUUUUGCAUUGUGUUUUAGCUAAAAUGCUUUUCUUUGUUCAAUCUUUGCUUGUAUUAUAUUUUUUCUGUGCGGCAUUGGUUUCUUCUCUCUGUGAAUUCCUUCAUACAAUUUUAUGCUUUCUCCCUAGUCUUGCAGUUCUUAAUUGCUUUGUCUAGGAAAAGCUAUUCUUAGUUGUCCUUCUCAGAAGUAAUUGGUUUACUUGAUGAAAGUCUUUGUAUAACAUGUUACCAAAGUAAACAUAAACAUAUUUUAGAUUGACAAAGACGUUUUCUUCUGAAGGAAACAUGUUUGCAAAAUUGUAAAAGGGAAUCCCUGGUCAUGGAUUUUUUUUUUUUAAAAAUAACAAUAAUGAUAACAGACACUUGGAAAAAAAAAGUGAUCUGUAAGGUCUUGUAUUUUAGUUAUUGACUAACGAAUCCUAGAUCUGCUUAAUUUGUAAUUUU
Long non-coding RNA from Hevea brasiliensis (rubber tree), 1310 nucleotides. RefSeq lists it as uncharacterized. The transcript has 2 exons. NCBI's taxonomy places the organism in Eukaryota, Viridiplantae, Streptophyta, Magnoliopsida, Malpighiales, Euphorbiaceae. The record is from RefSeq and is a predicted model, not a curated record.